GGGGGCGGAUGGGCGCCGGUGUGCCUCCCGGUCUUCAAAACCGGUGUGGGCGGCGCAGAGCCGUCCGGGUGAGUUCGAUUCUCACACGCCCCCGCCA
This 97-nucleotide transfer RNA is filed under the name Anaerotruncus massiliensis (ex Togo et al. 2026). Its description in RNAcentral is "Anaerotruncus massiliensis (ex Togo et al. 2019) tRNA-Sec". It matches the Rfam family "Selenocysteine transfer RNA". The record is from RNAcentral. RNAcentral also lists the same sequence under 2 other names. Lineage: Bacteria; Bacillati; Bacillota; Clostridia; Eubacteriales; Oscillospiraceae.